Brassica napus (rape) is the source of this 1270-nucleotide RNA transcript. RefSeq lists it as uncharacterized. The record is from RefSeq and is a predicted model, not a curated record. The transcript has 5 exons. NCBI's taxonomy places the organism in Eukaryota, Viridiplantae, Streptophyta, Magnoliopsida, Brassicales, Brassicaceae.
AAUAAACCCGGUAAUCGAUUAGGUUCACCUGCGUAUUCAGAUCACAGUACUCUUAUGAAACUCUUCAUCUCCCCCUAUCUCUUGAUCUCAUGCCUCUUUACUCAUUCCAUCAAUACCUUAAGCGUUUCAAAACCUCUAACAUUGAUUUCAGUAUAAAGAGUCAAUGCCAGAAUCUGGAAUCGAACAUCUCAGUCGCCUCAUCUUUUACUCAACUGUCGAAAAUGCCUUUCUCCGUUUUUGUUUCCAUCCAAUCUGCUGUUAUGAACUCCACAUACGAUGAUCUUUGCCUUGGCUGUUAUUCUAAGGUGAUUUGUUGGCCACCUCUUCCGCUUCUGGGAUUUAUUGAAUUCAUGCCUUGUCCUACUUGAUGAAAAGUUUCCGUCAUCCAAGGCUUCAUCCCCGCUCCUCAUGCCAAUCAGUACUGUCAAACUUUACGAUUGCCAAAGUUGAUGGAUUCGAAGUUUGUGGGUGAACGAAUAUGUACAAGUGUCUGGAUCACCCUUUCUUCUUCUGGUUCAUUCCGACAAUAACUAUUGCUGAAGUGCUCCGGUCAUCUCUAAGCUCUUGUAAACUGAUUGUCUUUUUCACUGAGACAUCAGCAGAGGUAUUCCCACGUUUUGAGACCAUUGGAGAGAUUCAGAAGAAAAAAAACAACUUGCCUCAAUUGGAGAACUUCACAUGUACCUCCAAGUCCAAUGCUCAGCUGAUAUCCUUUUAAGGCUUGAAUCAUCGGUGUCCUCCAGGAAAAAUGGCUGGUCUUACGUUGCUUGCACAGCUGCAGGGAAUUGGAAAAAUCUGGGACGUCGCUCCGGUGCAUCAGGUUCUGUUUCGAGUUGGCUGUUGACGAUAGCCACAACAGUGCUACAUUUGUGGUGCUCUACUUCUAGACAUAAAUGACCGAACAUACCAAGAAAGAAGCACUCACCCCAGCACUCCAUUCAUCUUGCAGUUUUUAAAUGGUCAAGGUUGCUCUCAUUAUAACACGGAGCUUAAACCUAUGACAGACUAAUGGUGGUGGCGGGUCCAGAGCUACCAAGAUGCCUAGAAGAACUAGUUGUGGAAGCAAUGUGUGUUCCAAAUUCGCGUCACGCCUCACAAUUACACACCCAACUUCCGAACCUUCACUGUCUCUGCAAGCACUGAAAAUGUGGUCCUCAACACUCAGUCAGAGGUUGGCUAAACUAAGUUUUAAUUUAAUUUAAGUUGGCACUUUUUGUAAAAGAGUCAGGCAGUAUCAUCAAACUAAUAAAAACCUACACAUAUUCUUUUA